This 491-nucleotide ribosomal RNA is filed under the name uncultured bacterium. Its description in RNAcentral is "partial 16S ribosomal RNA". It matches the Rfam family "Bacterial small subunit ribosomal RNA", at positions 28 to 507 of the family's 1533-position model. The record is from RNAcentral.
GAUGAACGCUGGCUACAGGCUUAACACAUGCAAGUCGAGGGGAAACGACGGGGAAGCUUGCUUCCCCGGGCGUCGACCGGCGCACGGGUGAGUAACGCGUAACCAACCUGCCUCUGACUGAGGGAUAACCCGUCGAAAGUCGGCCUAAUACCACAUGGUAUCGUCUGCGGGCAUCCAACGACGAUUAAAGAUUUCAUCGGUCAGGGAUGGGGCUGCGUCUGAUUGGCUUGUUGGCGGGGGAACGGCCCAGCAAGGGUACGUUCAGGAGGGGUUCUGGGAGGAAGGCCCCCCGCAUUGGAACUGCGGCCCGGUCCACACCCCUACGGGGGGCAGCAGUAAGGACUAUUGUUCAAUGGGCGAUGGCCUGAACCAGCCAAGUAGCGUGCAGGAAGACGGCCCUCUGGGUUGUAAACUGCUUUUAAGCGGGGAUAAAGUGAGGGACGUGUCCCUCAUUGCCGGUACCGCAUGAAUAAGGACCGGCUAAUUCCGUG